UAAAACCGCAUUAAAUACACUAGAGAUGAAAACACCUUAUUAGCCCACCAAAAUACUCAUCGACUAAAAAAGAAUACCUUCUACGUUACCCCACUCAUGUAUGCCUAAACCACCCCCGCCUUGUCUGCCGAGCACCGCCUUCGAAAUCUGCCCAAGGCCAUCGCUCAAGGACACCGUCUUUUGGGUUUUUAUUAAUUCUUUGUGGUUUGGUUUGUUUCUUCAAGCAAGCCUAUAUUUUUCUUUUGUCAGCAUUAUUUGGCACCAUAACAAAGAAGUAGAAACAAUUAGCAAAGCAUUAAUGAAAUAACAGAGGUAAUUCAGGUUGAAAUAAAUUUAAUUACUAUUUUGAUUUGAGAGUUUGUUAAUUGUUCUUCAGGUUCUUCAUCAGGUUAUUAUUUGUGCAUUAAAUUUUUCAUCAUAAUAUGGAAUUUUUCAUGUUCAUACAAUUUUCUAAUGUCAUCAUGAUUACUGGCAGUGAGUAAUUAAUUUUGUCAUGAAAUCCUUAAAAAUUGUUUUACACCAAUAAUUUAUGGUGACGACUCCAAUACUUCGAAUGACCUACUUGAGGACGGCACUUUUCGAUGGAUUAGAAUUCUCUCAAAUCAUUCGUCUAAUUUGAAAGAAUUCGAACAGGUAAUUAUGAGAGACUAUUUAUUCGAUCCACCUGACCGGAUAAGUGAUUUGGCACUCCUGUUUUAUACAUAUAAUGGAUGGCUCCACCCCAAAUAUGAGCUACCAAGAAUGGCAAAGAGAUCCCGAUCAAUGUAGAAACACCUUUUUGUUUGUUUAAAGGUUGCAUCUUUAAAUUGUAUUUAUUUUGAAACAUCUGGCCGCUACUGUCUUGAUCAGAUUACAUGGAUUCAUUGUAUAUACUUAGAAGCAGAAAUUUUCUUGUAGAAUACCAGGCUGCCAAAUUGCAGGCAGUUUAGGGUUUAUGUCUUAA
This is a long non-coding RNA of Alnus glutinosa, 943 nucleotides long. RefSeq lists it as uncharacterized. The record is from RefSeq and is a predicted model, not a curated record. The transcript has 2 exons. NCBI's taxonomy places the organism in Eukaryota, Viridiplantae, Streptophyta, Magnoliopsida, Fagales, Betulaceae.